Molecule: transfer RNA, 74 nt
Filed under: Okeania hirsuta
Lineage: Bacteria; Bacillati; Cyanobacteriota; Cyanophyceae; Oscillatoriales; Microcoleaceae
Also listed under: 21 other names
Rfam family: tRNA
About the family: Transfer RNA (tRNA) molecules are approximately 80 nucleotides in length. Their secondary structure includes four short double-helical elements and three loops (D, anti-codon, and T loops).
Source: Rfam by way of RNAcentral
GGACGUAUAGCUCAGUUGGUUAGAGCACUACCUUGACAUGGUAGGGGUCACAGGUUCGAGUCCUGUUACGUCCA